UACGGGGGGGGCAAGCGUUGUUCGGAAUUACUGGGCGUAAAGGGCUCGUAGGUGGCCAACUAAGUCGGACGUGAAAUCCCUCGGCUUAACCGGGGAACUGCGUCUGAUACUGGAUGGCUUGAGUUUGGGAGAGGGAUGCGGAAUUCCAGGUGUAGCGGUGAAAUGCGUAGAUAUCUGGAGGAACACCGGUGGCGAAGGCGGCAUCCUGGACCAACACUGACGCUGAGUGAGCGAAAGCGUGGGGAGCAAACAGG
This 254-nucleotide ribosomal RNA is filed under the name uncultured bacterium. Its description in RNAcentral is "partial 16S ribosomal RNA". It matches the Rfam family "Bacterial small subunit ribosomal RNA", at positions 524 to 776 of the family's 1533-position model. The record is from RNAcentral.